UAACCCUCGCCCUUGCGGUGUCAAAGCCGCUCGGGUGGACUUGGACGUUGCCGUAGUUGGCUCGUCUUGAAAUGCAUUAGCUUUGCGCCCAUUGGUGUGCUCGGUGCUGCCGUGAUAAUUUCCUCGGCUCGCCUUAGGCCACCUCCAGCGACGCUGCUUCCAACGGUCCUUCGCGGACAAAAGACACAUAAAG
Molecule: unclassified non-coding RNA, 193 nt
Filed under: uncultured Auriculariaceae
Lineage: Eukaryota; Fungi; Basidiomycota; Agaricomycetes; Auriculariales; Auriculariaceae
Description: sequence contains ITS2
Source: RNAcentral